UACGUAGGGGGCGAGCGUUGUCCGGAUUUAUUGGGCGUAAAGAGCUCGUAGGCGGCUCGUUGCGUCGGCUGUGAAAACCCGCAGCUCAACUGUGGGCUUGCAGCCGAUACGGGCGGGCUAGGAUUCGGUAGGGGAGACUGGAAUUCCUGGUGUAGCGGUGAAAUGCGCAGAUAUCGGGAAGAACACCCGUGGCGAAGGCGGCUCUCUGGGACGGUACUGACGCUGAGACGCGAAAGCGUGGGGAGCGAACAGG
RNAcentral lists this ribosomal RNA (253 nucleotides) under uncultured bacterium. Its description in RNAcentral is "partial 16S ribosomal RNA". It matches the Rfam family "Bacterial small subunit ribosomal RNA", at positions 524 to 776 of the family's 1533-position model. The record is from RNAcentral.